UAAACGACUCUCGGCAACGGAUAUCUUGGCUCUCGCAUCGAUGAAGAACGUAGCGAAAUGCGAUACUUGGUGUGAAUUGCAGAAUCCCGUGAACCAUCGAGUUUUUGAACGCAAGUUGCGCCCGAAGCCUUUNGGCCAGGGCACGUCUGCCUGGGCGUCACGC
Molecule: ribosomal RNA, 163 nt
Filed under: Amaranthus tricolor (Joseph's coat)
Lineage: Eukaryota; Viridiplantae; Streptophyta; Magnoliopsida; Caryophyllales; Amaranthaceae
Also listed under: 30 other names
Description: 5.8S ribosomal RNA
Rfam family: 5.8S ribosomal RNA
About the family: 5.8S ribosomal RNA (5.8S rRNA) is a component of the large subunit of the eukaryotic ribosome. It is transcribed by RNA polymerase I as part of the 45S precursor that also contains 18S and 28S rRNA.
Source: RNAcentral